RNAcentral lists this ribosomal RNA (496 nucleotides) under uncultured bacterium. RNAcentral describes it as "partial 16S ribosomal RNA". It matches the Rfam family "Bacterial small subunit ribosomal RNA", at positions 28 to 507 of the family's 1533-position model. The record is from RNAcentral.
GACGAACGCUGGCGGCGUGCCUAAUACAUGCAAGUUGAGCGCUGAAGGUUGGUACUUGUACCGACUGGAUGAGCAGCGAACGGGUGAGUAACGCGUGGGGAAUCUGCCUUUGAGCGGGGACAACAUUUGGAAACGAAUGCUAAUACCGCAUAAAAACUUUAAACACAAGUUUUCAGUUUGAAAGAUGCAAUUGCAUCACUCAAAGAUGAUCCCGCGUUGUAUUAGCUAGUUGGUGAGGUAAAGGCUCACCAAGGCGAUGAUACAUAGCCGACCUGAGAGGGUGAUCGGCCACAUUGGGACUGAGACACGGCCCAAACCCCUAGGGGAGGCAGCAGUAGGGAAUCUUCGGCAAUGGACGAAAGUCUGACCGUGCAACGCCGCGUGAGUGAAGAAGGUUUUCGGAUCGUAAAACUCUGUUGGUAGAGAAGAACGUUGGUGAGAGUGGAAAGCUCAUCAAGUGACGGGAACUACCCAGAAAGGGACGGCUAACUACGUG